Molecule: long non-coding RNA, 1788 nt
Filed under: Ailuropoda melanoleuca (giant panda)
Lineage: Eukaryota; Metazoa; Chordata; Mammalia; Carnivora; Ursidae
Description: lncRNA (ENSAMEG00000028992.1)
Source: RNAcentral
ACCUCAGCCAUUGGGUCUUCAGCGACGUUGCUCCGUCCCUCCUGCUGUCUCCCCGUUCUGGAUGGUCGACUCCCCUCGUGCCUGAUGGUCGCAGGCAGUUUCCGUCUCUCGGUCUCUUGGUGCUGCGCUCCUGGGGAUUCCUCGGCUCCUCUUCGCGUUCCUGGCGGCUCUCUCCAGCUCUGCUCCGUGAAGAUGGUCAGCCCCCCAUUUGAAUUUGUAGCUGUGAUUCUAAUUUCCCAUGUUCCUGAUGGGCUUGUUACCUGACGUGCUCUUACCUCGCGACCUUCUGCGGUAUCGGGGUUGGGGUCCCUUCGGUCUCCUGGAGGACCUUAAAGAAAGCGACUCUAAAAUGCUUUCCAAAUUGCUCUGAGGCUCUGCUUUCUCAGCGAGCUGUCCUUCCAUUUGCGAAACGUGUUUGCCUCAUCAGUGCUCUGUGACGCCUGGUUAAGAGGCUAUCCGGGGAUUCUGCAAAGCCCAGGGCCACCUGCCAGCGGCCUCCGCUUGGCUCCUGACACGGGUUUCCUCAGAAGCGUCCAUGAUGGGCCUGCACAUCACCUGAGGGUCGCGUCUCUGGGACAGUCCCUUUGAGCCUGGUGACUCUGUGGCUUUGGUGCUCGCCACGACCCUGAAGGGUGGACGUAGCGGGUCUGGUCUCUCCAUUCGCAGACACUGCAGGUCCUGAUGCCGGCCCGGCUCCGGCCCCAGCCCGGCUCAGCCCUUCCGCCGUGGCCCACACCCUGCACGCGCAGCUCCACUCUCUUCCCAGCCCGGGGACUGCCAGCCUCUGCCUCCUGUCCCCUGUCUUGGAAGGACUGGUCUCCGUGUGUCCGCAAACAUGUCCUCUUAGGUUAUUCAUUUCUGGGACUCUCAGGCCUCUGGUUUGGAGCUGAAGGUUUCCACCUUCUCCAACCAGCAGCAGGUGACCUGUCUGCAUGCUCACUGGAGGUUGCCCCCAGCCGGUGCGCAGAGACGCACCCCCGGAGCUGCGGGUCGUUCCUCGACUUGAACCGCAGCUCCUUGCACAGGCUGUUCGGACCUGCUGGUGGGGAGCCUGGCUCGGCCUGGGGCGAAGAGCUAAAGGUGGACGCGGCUGCCGUGUUUGCCGAGAGUCCAGUUUGAAGCCUGGAUGCCCUUCUGCUCCCUUUACGUCACUCACAGGUCCCGCUGGAGACGAGACUCUGAAGCCUGGCUGCCCUGGGGCUCCGGCUCCUGCACGGCCUCCUCCGGGUCCCACCUGCGUGCGUGGCUCUGCACUUGGCCCGAGCCCAGCAGCUUGGCAGGACAGGACCUCAGCCUCCCCUGGGCCCCCUACCAGGAUCCCCCACCAGGGGCCACUUGCUGAGCCUGGAGCCCCUGCUGACCACUGGCUAGCAGGACACAAAGACGGAGCCACACAGAGUGGGGCUGGGAGGGGCCCUCGCACAGGUCUCCUCCGCCCUUGGGUCUUCAUAGCAGGUGCAACAGAUUCCAGGCAAAGCUCCCCCAGGUGAGUGUGUGCCUGUCAGAGCCGUGCCCCCGGGUAGAGCGAGCAGAGACCAGGGCAGGCGAGGGUCAGGGAGGCAAUGCUGGGGGGCUCCCUGAGCAGUGGGGAGUCCCCACCCCCGGGGAGACCGGGCCCCGGAGGGAACGCAUAACCCGCAUCCGUGGUCUCCAGGUUAAAGUCCACUUGGGGGUAGAGGCCUUCUUCCGGCGGUGCGGCCGCCCCUCGCCCAGGCCGUACGCCCCUCCUCGGGGUCGGCGGGGAGAGCUCUUGGACCAGCGCUCCCCCGGCGGCCCCGCUCCUCCGGC